UCGGGAUAGCUCAGCUGGUAAAGCAAAGGACUGAAAA
This 37-nucleotide transfer RNA is filed under the name Aquilaria sinensis. RNAcentral's name for it is "partial tRNA-Phe". The record is from RNAcentral. Lineage: Eukaryota; Viridiplantae; Streptophyta; Magnoliopsida; Malvales; Thymelaeaceae.